This 253-nucleotide ribosomal RNA is filed under the name uncultured bacterium. RNAcentral describes it as "partial 16S ribosomal RNA". It matches the Rfam family "Bacterial small subunit ribosomal RNA", at positions 524 to 776 of the family's 1533-position model. The record is from RNAcentral.
UACGUAAGGGGCGAGCGUUGUCCGGAGUUACUGGGCGUAAAGCGCACGCAGGCGGUCUGCUAAGUUUGGAGUGACAGUUGGUGGCUUAACUGCCAAAGUGCUUCGAAAACUGACAGACUUGAGGGCUUCAGAGGGACACGGAAUUCCGGGUGGAGUGGUGAAAUGCGUAGAGAUCCGGAGGAACACCAAAGGCGAAGGCAGUGUCCUGGGGGGUACCUGACGCUCAGGUGCGAAAGCCAGGGGAGCGAACGGG